Molecule: RNA transcript, 2517 nt
Organism: Piliocolobus tephrosceles (Ugandan red Colobus)
Lineage: Eukaryota; Metazoa; Chordata; Mammalia; Primates; Cercopithecidae
Gene name: serine/threonine-protein phosphatase PP1-beta catalytic subunit pseudogene
Exons: 1
Source: RefSeq, a predicted model, not a curated record
CUCUCGCUGCCCGGCGGGGAGGGGGUGGGGGGAGGGCCCGGGAAAAGGGGGAGUUGGAGCCGCCGAAACGCCGCGUGACUUGUAGGUGAGAGAACGCCGAGCCAUCGCCGCAGCCUCCGCCGAGAAGCCCUUGUUCCCGCUGCUGGGAAGGAGAGUCUGUGCCGACAAGAUGGCGGACGGGGAGCUGAACGUGGACAGCCUCAUCACCCGGCUGCUGGAGGUACGAGGAUGUCGUCCAGGAAAGAUUGUGCAGAUGACUGAAGCAGAAGUUCGGGGCUUAUGUAUCAAGUCUCGGGAGAUCUUUCUCAGCCAGCCUAUUCUUUUGGAAUUGGAAGCACCGCUGAAAAUUUGUGGAGAUAUUCAUGGACAAUAUACGGAUUUAUUGAGAUUAUUUGAAUAUGGAGGUUUCCCACCAGAAGCAAACUAUCUUUUCUUAGGAGAUUAUGUGGACAGAGGAAAGCAGUCUUUGGAAACCAUUUGUUUGCUAUUGGCUUAUAAAAUCAAAUAUCCAGAGAACUUCUUUCUCUUAAGAGAAAACCAUGAGUGUGCUAGCAUCAAUCGCAUUUAUGGAUUCUAUGAUGAAUGCAAACGAAGAUUUAAUAUUAAAUUGUGGAAGACCGUCACUGAUUUUUUUAACUGUCUGCCUAUAGCAGCCAUUGUGGAUGAGAAGAUCUUCUGUUGUCAUGGAGGACUGUCACCAGACCUGCAAUCUAUGGAGCAGAUUCGGAGAAUUAUGAGACCUACUGAUGUCCCUGAUACAGGUUUGCUCUGUGAUCUGCUAUGGUCUGACCCAGAUAAGGAUGUGCAAGGCUGGGGAGAAAAUGAUCGUGGUGUUUCCUUUACUUUUGGAGCUGAUGUAGUCAGUAAAUUUCUGAAUCGUCAUGAUUUAGAUUUGAUUUGUCAAGCUCAUCAGGUGGUGGAAGAUGGAUAUGAAUUUUUUGCUAAACGACAGUUGGUAACCUUAUUUUCAGCCCCAAAUUACUGUGGCGAGUUUGAUAAUGCUGGUGGAAUGAUGAGUGUGGAUGAAACUUUGAUGUGUUCAUUUCAGAUAUUGAAACCAUCUGAAAAGAAAGCUAAGUACCAGUAUGGUGGACUGAAUUCUGGACGUCCUGUCACUCCACCUCGAACAGCUAAUCCACCGAAGAAAAGGUGAAGAAAGGAAUUCUGUAAAGAAACCGUCAGAUUUGUUAAGGACAUACGUCAUAAUAUGUAAGUGUGCACUGUAAAACCAUCCAGCCAUUUGACACCCUUUAUGAUGUCACACCUUUAACUUAAGGAGACGGGUAAAGGAUCUUAAAUUUUUUUCUAAUAGAAAGAUGUGCUACACUGUAUUGUAAUAAGUAUACUCUGUUAUAGUCAACAAAGUUAAAUCCAAAUUCAAAAUUAUCCAUUAAAGUUACAUCUUCAUGUAUCACAAUUUUUAAAGUUGAAGAGCAUCCCAGUUAAACUAGAUGUGAUAGUUAAACCAGAUGAAAGCAUGAUGAUCCAUCUGUGUAAUGUGGUUUUAGUGUUGCUUGGUUGCUUAAUUAUUUUGAGCUUGUUUUGUUUUUGUUUGUUUGUUUUUGCUAGAACAAUGGCACAUACUUCUAAUUUUUUUCCCUAAACAUUUUUAAAAGUGAAAUAUGGGAAGAGCUUUACAGACAUUCACCAACUAUUAUUUUCCCUUGCUUAUCUACUUAGAUAUCUGUUUAAUCUUACUAAGAAAACUUACGCCUCAUUACAUUAAAAAGGAAUUUUAGAGAUUGAUUGUUUUAAAAAACGCACAUUGUCCAAUCCAGUGAUUUUAAUCAUACAGUUUGACUGGGCAAACUUUACAGCUGAUAGUGAAUAUUUUGCUUUAUACAGGAAUCGCCACUGAUUGGGAUUUGUGCACUCUAAUUUUUAACUUAUUGAUGCUCUAUUGUGCAGUAGCAUUUCAUUUAACUUUAAGAUAAGGCUCAUUAGUAUUACCCAACUAGUUGGUAAUGUGAUUAUGUGGUACCUUGGCUUUAGGUUUCCAUUCGCACGGAGUACCUUUUGGCAUGCUUAACUUCCUGGUAACACCUUCACCUGCAUUGGUUUUUUUUUUUUUUUUUUUUUUGAGUUUUUUCUUUUUUUUUUUUUUGAGUUGUUGUUGUUGUUGUUUGUUUUUAGAUCAACAGUACAUGAGAAUCAUUUUUUGACAAGCCUUGGAAAGCUGACACUCUCUCUUUUUCCUCCCUCUAUACAAAGGAUGUAUUUAAAUGAAUGCUGAUCAGUGGGACAUUUUGUCAACUAUGGGUAUUGGGUGCUUAACUGUCUAAUAUUGCCAUGUGAAUGUUGUAUACGAUUGUAAGGCUUAUGUCACUAAAGAUUUUUAUUCUGAUUUUUUCAUAAUCAAAGGUCAUAUGAUAUUGUAUAGACAUGCUUUAUAGUGAACUAUAGUAGCAAUAAUUUCUGUACCUGAUCAAGAGUUUAUUGCAGCCUUUCUUUUCCUAUUCUUUCUUUUUUUUAAGGGUUAGUAUUAACAAAUGGCAACGUGUAGAAAAGUUAACAUGA